This 21-nucleotide ribosomal RNA is filed under the name Candidatus Phytoplasma cynodontis. RNAcentral describes it as "partial 23S ribosomal RNA". The record is from RNAcentral. Lineage: Bacteria; Bacillati; Mycoplasmatota; Mollicutes; Acholeplasmatales; Acholeplasmataceae.
AAAGGAAUUAAGGGCGUACAG